This 21487-nucleotide long non-coding RNA is filed under the name Nicotiana benthamiana. RNAcentral describes it as "long non-coding RNA (NBEN_LNC027803)". The record is from RNAcentral. Lineage: Eukaryota; Viridiplantae; Streptophyta; Magnoliopsida; Solanales; Solanaceae.
CAUUUCGGCUAAUUAAAAUGGUCCGAAAAAUGCAGAGACCGUUUAGUUCUUCCCCAAACACAGACCUCAUCUUCUCCGUCUCCUUCAUCCCCAAACCUCCAUGUUCACCGGCAAUCCACCGCCAAUGACCGCCAAAAUAACACCCUUGAAACCCCGUCUCACCCUCAUCCCAAAAAUCCCCUUUAUUCCCCUCGAAUGUUACUGAAGCCUCUCGAAUUUGGAUUUAAAGGGUCCACUUUAGAAAUUCCAAAGCCUAAAUCUAUGACUCUAUAAAUGGUUCUAGACUGUAGUGACCUUUAUUCGUGUGGUUCCAUAAGAAAAUACACGAUUAAGGGUUAGUCCAGUCAGGAAUCUGAAGAAGCUCAUUAAGGAUUGUUCGAGUUGGCUUAGCUUGGUGCUUUAGGUAUUAUGUUUGCCUAUCCUCAUUGUUUCCCAGAUUAGUUCAAUUGUUUGAUUUUGUUUUCUGUUGUUCUUCCUCCAGUUCAUGCUCUGUCUCUGCUUUUCCAUUCUGCCUCGUUGCUUAUGUGUUAAUAUGCUUAAUUAAUAACCUUGAGUUAAUCGUGUUUUUGAUUUUGCUAAAUAAAUAGAAUUAAUUCAUUUUGCGAGUUUUUAAUUGGGCUGUUUCUUUUGGAGGUUAUCCCUUAACUGAUAUUGGAUUGAGUCAGAAUCUGAAAUCGAUUGUCUAUUUUGGAUUGGUCUAGAAUUAGUUUGGGGCUCCUUGGGUCAUUUAUGACCCAACUCAAAGGUGCCUUGGUUGAGCCCAAAGCUGUUUGGUUAGCUAAGUAAUAACAGGGGCUUUGGAGGGUAUUAUAGGUAAUCUAACAUGGAUGAAUCUUUUGUAACUAAUUUCAGAAGUUUCUAGUAGGGGUCUUAAGGGGAGUAUCAUAUUUUGGGUGUUUAAACUUGGGUAGAAAGUCAGGAAUUGAGGGUUACCUAAGCAAAAAUGAAAAUACAAAAGGGGGGUAAGGUGUAAAUUGGAAAACCUGAAGGCUGCCCUAUGCUUAAGCUUAUAAACGCAUGCUUUAUUGCCUUGAAAGACAGCCAUCAAGAUUCUAAAAAUCUGAAGGGCAUUAGAGAUACAAAAGAAAAAAACAUAAAAAUCAGUAUUGCUACUAUUCUAUGGAGUUUAAGGCCUAAACUUUGAAAGUUUUUCCAUCUCUAAAUCAAUUUGAAUUUUCUCUUUAUGUCCAAGCUUUGAAAUGGUUUGAAAAAUGAGGUGAUGAUCUUGGAUUUGGAUGGCUCUGAUUGUUUGAAGGUGGUAUUACGUGUUGAGAUUACAUUCCUCUGGGUUUUAGGCUAUUAAGUCUACUGUUCCAUUGGAGUUUUUAAGUAAUCUCCUGGUUUUAUUCACUAAGUCUAGGCUGUGUUGGUUGCUUUUGAUUUCUACGGUUGCUAUUUGAUAUUGCAUCUGUUUGGCUGGUUGUGUUCCUUCUGUUGGCUUUCAUCUUUAUUUGAGCUUACUACUGCUGCUCACUGUUAGCUCCUGGCUCAUUUUUGUUGGUUUUGCUGUUGUAAUCAGGUACAUACUCGAGGUCAUGUCAAUACAGAUUUUACUUGCUUGAAAUGAAAUGGAAUCGAAGUUACUGCUUGAAGAUCUCAUGUCAAUACAACUUUUCCUUGCUUGAAAUGAAAUGGAAUCGAAGUUACUGCUUGAAGAUCUGUUGUUCAUUUUAUUAUGCAAAUGAAUGUUUUGUAUGAUCUAUGUAAUUUCAUAGUGUGACAGAGCAUAAACCUAGGAGUUCUAUGUGUAGCAACGAGGUUUUGGACUGUUAAACUCGACUGAUUUUAUAGCUUUCAUUAAUUCUAUGUGUAGCACUGGUUAUAACUACACCAUUUGGGGUUGUUGAAUUCUGGAUUCUAUAACUUUCAUUAAGCCUUCAUUAUGCAUUUCAAAGUAGUCGAUCUCAGUCCAAAUGGCAAGGAUUUUCAUGAGUAAACACUGUUUGGUUCAUAUGAGCAAUAGAGUACAAUAUUAUCACCAUGCUUAUUUAGUUACAAGGAUUUAUAGAAUCUGACUCUAUAAUAGUUGAAUACACUUUUGCUUGUGAAUCACGAACCAGUUAAUUUAACCUGUUGUUUGGGCCUAUUGUUUGAUGUUAGGCCCAAUAAUUGUUACCCAUUAGAACUCAGGUUUUGAGUUAGGUAGCGGGUUUUAAACUAAAAGGUUCAUCCUUUUGUUUGGACCCGGACUUGAACUUAAGGCUUGGAGUUCGAAUAUAAUUAUUAGAAUCUUUCUUUCAUUAUUCGAUACAAAAAUCAAAAAUAGAAGAUAUAGUUAUCUUUUAGGUUUAUCCUUUUAAAAUAAAAUGAGACGAGACUCGCCCAACAGAAAUACCAAUUGUAGGGACGUCAAUGAAGGUUUAAAAAUAUUUAGAAAAUCGGGAAGGGUCGCUUAGUGAAUUUUACGAUCCUCCCAAAAGAUUACAAUGUGUUAGACCCUAUUAGGCAUGGCUUUAACCAUUAGAUUACUAAAUACGGGUGGGCAUUUUAUGCGGCCCAAAUCCAAAUCCUAAAACGUUGAAUAGAGUGUGUCUAGGAUUGCGGAUUCAUUUGAUGCAGCGCAAUGUGAAACACAUUUUAAACGAUGUUCACCUUCUCAAAUAAAUAUAUAUUAAAUAAAAGCGGUAAAAAAGUAAAAAUUGGCGCAUAGGAACUUCAUGUUAUAAAAUCAGAUAAAAGCUAAAUGCAACAGUUGAGUGACCGCGCUAGAACCACGGAACCCGAGAAUGCCUACCACCUUCUCCCGGUUAACUGAACUCCUUAUCCGGAUUUCUGGUUCGCAGACUGUUAAACAUAGUCAUCUUUUUCCUCAGUUCGGGAUUCAACUGGUGACUUGGGACACCAUUAAUCUCCCAAGUGGAGACUCUGAUUAAUUAAUAACCAAAUCCCAUUCCGAUUGUCCUUUAAUUGGAAAAAUUCCUUUACACCCCUUUGCAGGGGUGUGUAGUAAAAAAGGAGGUGUGACCGCUCCGGCGACUCUGCUGGGGAACAAGAGUUCAGAACGUUUUGUUCAGGGUUCAGAAUUCGAGAUUAGAAUAAUUGUUGUGUUUGGCUUUAUCUGAUUUUAUUAUAUGAUAUGUGCUUAAUGUGCUAAUUGAUUGCUUUUACCGAUUUGAUAUUACAUGAACUAUAUAUAAACUAUGCCAAAACCAUCUCCUCUCUGAGUCUUCUGAAUCGUGAAGAAGGGUGUACGGUGUACGACCUCUUUUCUUUCUAGUGUCAAAUCCCAAUUUAGAACGAGGUUUGGAUAAGUCGCAAAGCCGGCGAAGCUUCUAUAUUCCCUGAUUGCCGCCUCCUCCUCAGCUCGAGCUGUCCGCUCGGAUAAGCCAGGUCUAGAACAAACACCCAGGCUCUGAACCUAGAAUAACUCAACUUCAUGCCGGAUCUCUAGUAGGAACGCUUAUCUGCAUCAUGUGCAUAUUGACUUAGGGGACUCAACACAUGGUUGGGUCCGUCUAGGAUUAGCAACUUGAAAUGAAAAAGACCAUCCUGACGCAUCCUACUUGCUUUCUAUGCAUUUAUUUGUUUCGACCUGCAUGUUGACCGGCUUUCUGAAUCUUGGAAAGGUUAGAAAAUGAGGGGAUAAAAAGGGAAAAACAAUGAGUCGGAAGAGUUAACUGAUUAGUUCAGAAAAACCAUUGUCUAAGUAGGAACUCUGCGGAAAUUUUGAAAAAUAAAAAAAAUAUUUUUUGUAUGUAGUUUGUUUUACUAAAAACCAAAGAAAAAUAGAAAAAGAGUUUUUGGAAAAUUAUUGGAAAAAUAGAAAAAAAGGGGUUUCAAAAAUAGAAAAGCUUGAAAAAGAGUUUUGUUUUAAAAUUUUAGUUAGCUUAUUUGCCCGAACUACACAUGGUUUUAUUCUCACAGGGCGUGACAUACGUAAGAAACCCUCAUCGGGUCCAAUUUUCCCAUGCCCGAACUACGCAUGGUUUUAUUUUCACAGGGCGUGAGAUACGUAAGCAACCCUUAUCGGGUCCAACCUCCCUUAUACAAAAAUAUAGUCAAAAAAUGCCAAAAUGUUUAUUUUUGUCAUACAAAAGUCAAGUAAGGCCACUUUGUCAAAAAUAGCAAAAUGUUCCCAAACGGGACGUUGGAAGGCUGAAUUUGCGUAAACAUCCAUUGUUUGGUCAAUUGUGAUUUCUGACAGGUUGACUACACAGCUUUAAAAUCUUCGUUUCCAAAGUGGUGAAAGGCCGUGUUUGAAAAUUGAGUCUUUUAUUUUCCAAUUUGAAAACACACAAAACAUCAUAUAAACAGUUUUAUCUUUUUGAGUCGAAUAAAAGUUUUUCUUUUGCUUAAUCACCUUAAUAAAUGUGUAGGAUGAGCACAAAUCAAAUUGAACCGUUCUCAGUCUUUAGCGAGGUCCCUCUACAGCUCCACAUGUGGUGGAAUGAUUUGGGAGAUGGUAGUAAAAAGAUAGUGGAAAGAAUUUUGGGAGGUCUGGUCAAUCUGUUGGAUAUCAAGACAAUGACAGACAUCAUUUAAUGAUUUGGGAGAUGAUAGUAAAAAAUAGUGAAAAGAAUUUUGGGAGGUCUCGUCAGUCUGCUAGACAUCAAGCCAAGGACAGACGUCAUUGAAGCUUUAAUACCGUUCUGGGAUCCAACCCAUUAUGUAUUUCACUUUACAGACUUUGAGCUUACACCUACACUAGAGGAGGUUGCGGUUAUGUAGGUUUGGAUGGAAAAUUGAGGGGGCAAUAUUUGCUUUCACCUAGACCGGUGUCUCCACAUGGGUUUUGAAUUUGCUACACAUUAAUCGGAAAGUGCAAGAUGACGAUUUGUCGAAAGGCUAUUGUGCUCUUCAAUUCUUAUAUCAACGGUAUGGUACUUCUCGGGGUUUUGAAGAACUGAAUCUCGGGCUAACUCACAAUGGGGACAAAAAUAAGUGGGAGGCAAGACGUCCUUUAGCUUUCCUGAUGGCCUUCUUGGGAAUCGUGGUUUGUCCAUGCAAAGAAAAGAAAAUAGAGAUAGGACUUGUUGGGAUGGGCGACGUCGCGAUCAAAAGGCCCAAUAGUACUGUGGUCCCUUUGGUGUUAUCUGAAAACUACCAAGCCUUAACUGUGCGUCGGGAGGGAGGCGAUUAUUUCCAGGGUUGCAAUGUAUUACUCUAGCUAUGGAUACAGGAACAUCUCUGUCAUCGUGUAGGAUACAUGUAUCACGGGUUAACUGAAAAAAACCGCAUCAGUGUUUUUGAGAAAUGGGUGACGGGCGUUGAAUUCCCUGAAGGUGUCGAAUCAUGGUUUGCACAAUUGAGGUCAUUGACAGCUAAUCAAGUUGAAUGGGCAUUUGGAUGGUUGCCUGAUACCGAGGUAAUACACAUGGUGGUCGAAGAAUGUCAUAUUCUUUUGAUGGGGGUUCGCAGUAUCCAGCCCUAUGCUCCUCAUCAAGUAUUGCGCCAGUUAGGAAGAUUUCAGACAAUCCCCACCGAUGAGGAUCUAAGUGAAGCAUGUCGACCGAAGAAUGUCAUAUUCUUUUGAUAGGGUUCGCAGUAUCCAGCCCUAUGCUCCUCAUCAAGUAUUGCGCCAGUUAGGAAGGUUUCAGACCACCCCCAACGAUGAGAAUCUAAGCAAGCAUGCCAUUGAGUUAAGUCCAAGAGCCACAUUUCCCGAAAAAGAUGUUCGAAAGCUAUGGAAUGAAUGUAGAUUUCUCGAGUCAAAGACCAUGGUUCAAGAACGUUCUAAGGGAGAAGUAGAUCCGAAGUAAAAUGCUUGGUUCAGAAAAAGGUUCCAAAUUCAGAGACACUACUAAAAGAGCCCACGUCCAACAAUUUACGAACGAUUCACAAGAACAAUGGGGCUGGUUGGCAAAGGAAGAGAACUAUUGGGCUGAGUUUGGCAAAUUGAAGCAACAAAUUGCAAGUUUGACUUUCGAGAAUAGUAUGCAAGCUGCGGCGGACCACGGAGAAAAGAAUAGACUGGCUCGAGAAAAUGAGAUGCUCAAGGCUCAAAUACAACAAAUGAAGGUAACCGCCAAUAAUCAACAAAGACGUAGGUCGGAUGAGAGACGCAUAAAAGGUUUGGAAAAUAAGAUCAAUGGGUGUCGGGACGAGUUGGAAAGAUCUGAGAACAUCAUGGCAAAACUCAAGGCACAAUGGGCUACAAAGACAGAAGAGAAUUGCCAGUAUUUGAACCAAUUAAAACGGGAUCAUGAGAAAAUUGUGGCCGAUUUGAAAAGAAAGAUGGUCGCCCUCGAGGGAAAAGUGGUUAAGCAGGCCAAGGACUUUGAAGUGGAAAGUGGGCAUUGCUAUGACUUAUUGGCCCAGAUGGAGGUGGAAGUGAAACAGUUGCAAGAUUAGCACAUGCAAGAUUCUCAGGCCUUAAAACAUGCAGUAAUCAGAUAAGACGCCUACUCAUAGAAAAGAAGUGAGCCAAAGACAGGAUCAGAGCCAUUGCUCAUGCCAUUUUGACAAGAUGCUGGGCAUGUGAAGAUAUGACUUAUACUACCUUUGUCCCACCCGUAGUGAUCUUUGUUGAAUGAACUUUGCAUGAAUUAGAGCAGCUUUAACAUGAUUUGGAACCCAGGUCUGCGUCGAGGCCGAAUGACGCCCUGUGGACACCUAAGUUUGAGGAUUUAGAAUAUGCUUAGUCCGUGUCUGUUGUUUUUCUAUUUUCGAGUCUGUCGUUGGAUUGUCCUGUGUCUUUUUAUGUCAAGUAUGUAGUCUUUGCGUCUGUAAUCAUUUUUGUUUGUGUCUGUUCCACAAAAGUUUUUAGUUUGUAAUAGUUUGUUUUAGUAAUGAAAAAUUGAAAAUUCCAAAAUUUUUAAUUCCAUCCUUUAUUCUUGCAUUUAUUUUCACGAACUACGCUUGGUCUGAUUUGUGCUUGGUCACGAUACGUAGGCAAUCUCUAUAGGAUUCGACCGUAAUCGCAAAAGAAAAGAAACAGAGAAUUAGAAAGAAAGAAAAGAGCGGAAAAACAAGGAAAAAGAGGAAUGAGAGUAAGGAAAAAGAGCAAAAACAUAGGAGCGGAAAAACCAAAGAAAGGAUAAAAUAAGAAAGCGAAAAGAAAGAAAGUGAAAGAAAAGAGAGAAUGAACAGGGAAUUGUGACGGAAACAAUAAAAGCCGGGAUGACGCACGCAGUCGAGCAAAGGCAUAAUAGAAACGGUUAACUGUAUAGGUGCAUUCAUGCCAACGUGUGGUUACCUAAUCCGUUAAAGCAUAAUCACUAAUCAAGUUGUUUUCCAAAUGUGUGAGUCCAGACAGUUGGUUAGUAUGUGGUUACCUUAUCUGUUAAAGCCUAAUCACUAAUCAAGUUGUUGUCCAAAUGUGUGAGUACGGACAGGUGGUUAGUUGAUUGGCAAUUCUAGCAACUCACCAUUACAACAGCCGGUUGAAGGAUAAGAUAGAAAUAACUGGACAGGAUUCAGAUACUAGUACUAUGGAUCCCAUGAAAGAGGUCGAGGUGACUGAUGUAGGGGCUAUGAAAGAGGAGAUGAAGAAGCUGAAAGCCCAAAUGGAUGCCAUGCACCGGGCUUGGGCUCAGGGGCACCCAACACAUUUAUACCCUGCCAACCCCUCUUACAUCCCGCACCUACUGCAGGCUCAGGAGCCUCCCACUCCCAAAACAUCUCCACCCUUCCAUUAUAACACCCAGGGGUAUGCCACUACUUCAUACGCCCCUCCAGCUCCUCCACCCAAACAGAACCCUCCUACACCCAUGGCUCCGUUUUUUGUGGCACCUCCUCCAGGUCCAUUACAAAGGUCCUCUAGUGAACCACUAUUCCAAGCCUAUGACACCCAAUAUUACCCUCCUGAGCCCACUCUUAAGGCUCCUGAUCCAUACUCAUAUACCCCUCACUUUGAGAUCCUAGAGGCAGUGGAUAAACCAGUUAAGAAUGCGGAGCAUGGGGAAGUGAUUUGGAAUUUCAAAAGUCUGGAGCAAUUCUUCAGGAACAUGCACGGUUUAGGCAGCCAAGUCAGCGUUGCCUAUAAAGAUUUGUGCCCUUUCCCUGAUGUCAAGUUUCCCGCGGGGUUUAAGAUGCCCAAGUUUGACCUAUACGAGGGACAUGGCGAUCCGGUGGCUCACCUUCGAGGUUUUUGCAGCAGAAUGAGAGGUGUUGGAGGAAAAGAUGAAAUGCUGAUAGCCUAUUUUGGUCAAAGUAUGAGCGGGUCCAUGCUGGAGUGGUACACGAAACAGAACCUAGCCGAUGGUAUACAUGGUAUGAUUUGGCACAAGCAUUCAUUGGCCAUUUUCAAUACAACCUCGAGAUAGUCCCUGAUCGUCUGUCAUUGUUGAAAUUUGAGAAGAAGCCGGGAGAAAGCUUUAGAGAAUUUGGUUUCCGAUGGACGGAACAAGUAGCCAGAGUGGAUCCUCCAAUGAGGGAGAAUGAGAUGGUAGACUACUUCCUGCAAACGUUGGAGCAGGCAUACUUCAGUCACCUAGUGGCGUCUGUAGGUAACUCAUUCAGUGAAGUAGUGAAUAUGGCACCAUGACUGAAGACGAUUUAAAGUCUAACAAAAUCUUGAGUUAUUUAGCACUGAAAGCAACUACGCAGGCCAUUCAAAGCGGUACUGGGAAAGAAAAAGAAGGAAGAAGUGGCCACAGCAGAAGCUAGCACAUGGUGCAGUCCCAACAAUCCUCCACCCUACUAUAGCCAACGCAGACCCCAACACCCAAACUACCCAUAUACCCCGUACGUCCCACCACAACAUUACUACCCUCCACCAGAACCACACUUCUAUGUCCACCAUGCUUAGACAUACACUCAUCCUCCGGUGCACCCGCAAUGGCAUGCACUGGUUCCCAAAAACACAUAUACACCUCCAAAAAACACCCAUCCACACCCUAGGGCUAAAAGACCAAGACCCGGCUUUCGCCCGAACCAAACCUUUUGGAAUGAGAGGGCCCCAAACAGAAGAACUUUUACCCCAUUGGGAGAAUCUUACACCUCUUUAUUACAUAGACUGAAGCAGUUGGGAAUGUUAAACCCAAUCGAGCCCAAAGUACCAAACCCACCUCCCAUAAACCUGGACCAGACCGUUAGCUAUGAGUAUUACUCGGGAAUACCGGGGCAUGAAACUGAAAAAAUGUUGGAAGUUGAAGAGUGCGGUGCAAGAGCUUAUUGACAACCGCCGUAUUGAAGUACAUGUCCCGGAGGUUCCAAACAUAAAUCAAAACCCGCUUCCAGUGCAUCAUGAGACUAACAUGAUUGAGUUGGUGCACAAGGAUGGAGAGGUGAAGAAACCCUCACAAAGCGUGAUGAUGAUUCGUGCUAUUGAGACCAGUUCAAAAGAGAAGCUGACUGGGGGACAGGAAGGGGUGAAGUUGAAAGGUACAAGUGACAAGCCAAUGGUAGUGAUGGGGAAAGAAUUAUCUGAUGCUGCAAAAAUGCCAGAGCCAACCAAGUUAGUAGUACCAGGGGCGUCAUCCAUGCCCGUGGUUGUUGUGAAAGGGGCCUGCGUAGAACCGGUCAUCAUAAAGUCGAUAAUCCAACUACCUAUGGUCAAUAGCAAAGCCGUGCCAUGGAAAUAUGACAAGGUGGUAGUAACAUACAAGGGAAAAGAUAUAGAGGAAGAGAGUUGUGAGACGCAAGGGUUGACUCGAUCAGGACGUUGUUUUGCCCCCGAAGAGUUGAGAAAAGCUAAGAGCACUAAAGGAAAUGCAACAUUAGUUAAGAAGGCAGUAACGGAAGAAGAGGAGGAAGAAUUUCUAAAAAAGAUGAAGGCACAUGAUUAUUCUAUUGUGGAACAACUGAGAAAAACUCCGGCUCAGAUAUCAUUGUUAUCAUUAUUGAUCCACUCGAACGAGCAUCGCCGAGCCUUGACAAAAAUAUUAAAUGUGGCCCAUGUCCUUGACAAAAUUUCAGUCAACCAUCUGGAGACAACUGCGAACAAGAUCUUCGAGGUGAACAGAAUAAUAUUUUCUGAUGACGAAUUGCCUGUGGAUGGCACGAAACACAGCAAGGCUCUUUACUUAACAGUCAAGUGUGAAGACUCAAAGGUGACUCGGGUGUUGAUGGACAAUGGGUCUAGUGCCAAUAUUUGUCUGUUGUCUAUGCUGAAUCGGUUGAAGAUUGAUCUUGAUAUCAUCCACAAAAAUAGCAUUUGUGUUUGAGGGUUUGAAGGGGGAGGAACAGACACAGUGGGAGAUAUUAUACUCGAAUUGACUAUCGGUCCAGUUGAAUUCACUAUGGAUUUUCAAGUGCUAGACGCUGCAGUAUAUUAUAAUAUUUUGCUGGGAUGACCAUGGAUCCAUGAAACCAAGGCAGUGCCCUCCACAUUGCACCAAAUGAUCAAGUUUGAGUGAGAUAGGCAAGAAAUCGUGUUGCAUGGGGAAGAUCUUACAUGCGUAGUAAGUGAUGCCAUUGUGCCCUUUAUAGAUACUGAUGAUGAUAAGGGACCAUGGGUUUAUCAAGUCUUCGACACGAUCCCGGUGAACCGAGUGCCAGAGGGUAAAAGUAUCCCACGUCCCAGGGUAGCGGUAGUGGGACUUUGUUUUUCCUUUUUGCUUUCACCUGGAUUAUCCCAGGGUUUGUAAUCCUUGUGACUAUGUUCCGUCCAUUUGGAUGAGCCAAGACCUGUUAUCUUUACGUUUUAAUGAAAUGCAAUUUUCCUUCCUUUUUCCUUUCCUUAUUUUGUUUCUAUUUUUAUUUUCUUUUAUGUACAGUUCUUUUUAUGCUAGUAUCAAUGACAUGACAUGCAUGAGUACUUCUCGAUCCAGUUUCAUAAGCCAACCUAACUCAGAAGUAAUAAUACAAGAAAUUGAAUGUGACGAUAAAAAGGAAUACGAUGAUGAUGAGGCCUAUGAAGAAAUCAGUAAGGAACUUAAACAUUUUGAGAAAAAACCCAAACCGAACUUAAAUGACACAGAAGCAGUUAACCUAGGGGAUCAAGAUAAUAUCCGUGAAACUAAAAUAAGUGUUCAUCAGGAGCCGCAGCUCAAGAAAGAAAUAAUCGCGGCGUUGUUGGAAUAUAAAGAUGUUUUUGCUUAGUCCUAUGAUGAUAUGCCAGGGUUGAGUACUGAUUUGGUGGCUCACAAACUGCCUACCGAUCCAUCACUCCCUCUGUUAAGCAGAAACUGAGAAAAUUUAAAACAGACAUGAGUGUGAAAAUUAAAGAAGAGAUUACCAAACAAUUCAAUGCAAAGGUCAUACGGGCCACGAAGUAUCCCACCUGGUUAGCUAAUAUUGUGCCUGUGCCGAUGAAAUAUGGAAAAACUAGAGUGUGUGUUGAUUAUCGAGAUCUCAACAAGGCAAGUCCAAAAGACAAUUUUCCAUUACCAAACAUCCACAUAUUGAUCGACAAUUGUGUCAAACAUGAGAUUGGUUCUUUUGUGGAUUGAUAUGCGGGUGAUCAUCAGAUCUUAAUAGAUGAGAAAGAUGCAGAAAAGACGGCAUUCAUCACACCAUGGGUAUCGACAAUUGUUUCAAACAUGAGAUUGGUUCUUUUGUGGAUUGUUAUGCGUGUUAUCAUCAUAUCUUAAUGGAUGAGGAAGAUGCAGAAAAGACGGCAUUCAUCACGCUGUAGGGAACAUAUUGCUAUCGGGUCAUGCUAUUCGGUUUGAAAUGUCGGGUCAACCUACAUGAGGGCUAUAGCGAUGAUCUGCCAUGAUAUGAUAUAUAAAGAGAUUGAGGUGUACGUAGAUGAUGUGAUUGUGAAAUCCAGGCAGCAGUAUGACCAUGUCAGGGAUUUGAGGAAAUUAUUUUAAAGCUUCGCAGAUACAAUCUCAAGCUUAAUCCUGCAAAGUGUGCAGGAUUGAAUUGGAUCCAUCGAAGAUUAAGGCCAUUCAGGAAUUGCCGCCUCCAAGAAACAAAACUGUUGUGAUGAGUUUUUUGGGGAGAUUGAACUACAUUAGCAGGUUCAUUUGCCAGUUCACAACUACUUGCGAGCCCAUUUUCAAACUGCUAAAGAAAGAUGCUGCGGUUAAAUGGACGGAUGAAUUUCAUAAAGCGUUUGAUAAGAUAAAGGGAUAUUUAUCGAACCCACCCGUGUUGGUUCCGCCAGAACCAAAGAGGCAUGUGAUUCUGUAUCUGAUGGUCUUAGAUAGUUCGUUUGGCUAUGUACUGGGGCAUCAUGAUGUUACUGGCAGGAAGGAGCAGGCGAUCUACUAUGUCAGCAAGAAGUUCACAUCUUACGAGGUUAAGUACACUCAUCUAGAGUGGACGUGUUGCGUUUUAACUUGGGUGGCGCAGACAUUGAAACAUUAUUUGACGUCCUACACUACUUAUCUCGUAUCUCGGUUAGAUCCACUGAAGUAUAUUCUCCAGAAGCCUAUGCGCACGGGAAGGCUUGCAAAGUGGCAGAUUUUGCUUACAAAGUUUGAUAUUAUCUAUGUGACACGGACCGCAAUAAAAGUACAGUCUUUAGCUGAUCAUUUGGCUGAGAAUCCAAUUGAUGACAAUUACGAGCCUUUGAAAACUUACUUCCCUGAUGAAGAGGUGAUGCAUAUUGAUGAGUUGGGGCUGAGAAUCCAAUUGAUGACGAUUAUGAGCCUUUAAAAACUUACUUCCCUGAUGAAGAGGUAAUGCAUAUUGAUGAGUUGGAGCAGGUAGAGAAACCAGGAUGGAAACUGUUCUUUGAUGGAGCGGCAAAUAUGAAAGGCGUGGGAAUAGGAGCCGUACUUAUUUCUGAAACAGGUAAGCACUAUCUUGUUAUGGCUCAGCUUCGUUUCAAUUGUACGAACAACAUGGCGGAAUAUGAAGCAUGUAUUUUGGGGUUGAGAUUAGCUGUGGAUAUGGGCGUCCGAGAAGUCUUGGUCAUGGGUGACUCGGACCUACUGGUACACCAAAUUCAAGGAGAUUGAGAAAUAUGAGAUUUGAAAUUGAUACCAUACCGACAGUGCCUGCAUGAGCUUUGUCAACGGUUUCAGUCAAUAGAGUUUUGGCAUAUCCCGAGGGUUCAUAGUGAGGUUGCCGACGCUUUGGCUACUUUGGCGUCAAUGUUGCACCAUCCAGAUAAGGCUUACGUAAACCCAUUGCAGAUUUAGGUCUACGAUCAGAAUGCUUAUUGUAAUAUGAUAGUAGAAGAGCUUGACGGUGAGCCGUGGUUUCAUGAAAUAAUGGAAUAUAUCAGGAUCAUAGUAUAUCCGGAACAUGCCUAGAGAUAAGAAAAGAACUAUUCAUCGAUUGGCAAGCGGGUUUUUCCUGAGUGGAGGAGUACUGUACAAAAGAACACCAGAUCGUGGACUGUUGAGGUGCAUGGAUGCGAGGCAAGCCAUGGCUAUCAUGACUGAGGUACAUUAUAGAGUCUUUGGACCGCAUAUGAGAGGAUAUGUUUUGGCAAAGAAGAUCUUACGGGCAGGUUAUUAUUGGCUUACUAUGGAGCGGGAUUGUAUCAAUUUUGUGCGUAAGUUCCAUCAGUGCCAAGUGCAUGGAGAUUUGAUUCAUUCUCCGCCAUCCGAGCUACAUACGAUGCCCGCGCCAUGGCUUUUUGUCGCAUGGGGCAUGGAUGUCAUCGGGCCAAUCGAACCGGCAGCGUCAAACGGGCACAAGUUCAUUUUGGUAGCUAUAGACUAUUUCACCAAAUGGGUAGAGGCUAAGACAUUCAAAUCUGUAACCAAGAAAGCUGUGGUGGAUUUUGUGCAUGCAAACCUUAUUUGUCGAUUUGGGGUAUUGAAAGUAAUCAUUACAGACAAUGGGGAAAACCUCAGUCAUCUGAUGAAGUAGACAUGUGAGAAAUUCAAGAAGCAUUCUACUCCCUAUCGCCCUAAAGCAAAUGGUAUGGUCGAGGCAACAAAUAAGAAUAUAAAGAAAAUAUUCUGGAAGAUGGUGGAAGGUUCGAGACAGUGGCAUGAAAUGUUGCCUUUGCAUUGUUGGGGUAUCGCACCACCGUCCGUACUUUGGUGGGGGAAACUCCUUAUUCAUUGGUGUAUGGCACUGAGGCAGUAAUACCCGUAGAAGUGGAAAUUCCGUCUUUAUGAAUCGUUGCAGAGGCUGAGAUCGAUGAUGAUGAAUGGGUGAAAAACCGCCUUGAGCAUUUUAGUUUGAUUGACGAGAAGAGAUUGGCAUCAGUGUGUCAUGGUCAACUGUACCAACGAAGAAUGGAAAGAGCAAGUAACAAGAAAGUUUGCCCGAGGAAAUUCGAAGUCGGAUAGCUAGUUCUGAGGCGGAUUUUGCCUCAUAGGGCUGAAGGAAAAGGAAAAUUUGCCCCGAACUAGCAGGGGCCAUUUGUAGUAACCAGAGUGUUGUCUAAUGGCGCACUCUAUUUAUAGAUGUAGAAGGAAAAUGUGUAUAAAUGACCAUCAAUUCCGAUUCGAUCAAGAGAUAUUAUCUAUGAUUUCUUUAUUUCUGAAUGUAUUUGUUUGUAUUUGGCAUAUUUUAAAGAUUGAAAUGAUGAAGGCGUGUUGUUCUGCUAUCCAAACACCAUUUUCCCUUGUCACCCCUUUUAGCCUUACAUAUUUCCGUUCAUACCUCUUUUUCGGAAUCAACGGCACAAUCAAGAAACGCAGGUGCCGAGCGUAAAGUAAAGAAAAGAAAAAGAAAGCAAAAAAGAAAAGGAAAAAAGAAAAGAAAGAAAAGAAAAGAAAAGGAAGAAAAAGAAAAGAAAAGAAAAGAAAGAAUCACAACAAAGGUAAAUACGAUAACGUGAACUACGUUUGAUUUGAUCCUGAAAGGGUACGUAGGCGACCUUACUCUGAGGUUCAAUCACACCAAAAUAAAAACCCGAAAGUCCCCAAGCAAGAAACUGGGGCAGAAGUUGUAAUAGUCUUGAGAAAUUGGAUUCUGAAAGUUGUAAGUUUAACCCAUUCGAAACUAUUUUGAGCCUUUUAUACCCUUUCUUUCUAACCUAUCAAAAAGCCUACAUUACGAUCCAAAGAAAGACCUUCUGAUCAAUUUUUGAGGAAUUCCAAGUCAAGCAUGUAGCGGUAAUUCAUGGAAGUGCCAAUGCUCUGGUUCAAGCAAGAAAAACAAAAGAUAAAAAAUGAGAGAGUCUUACUGGUGAAAAUCCUUACGGGCACCGUAAGACGACGAGAGCUGAGAGAAAAUAAAAUGAGAGAGUCUUAGUGGUGAAAACCCUCACGGCACCCUAAGGAGUAAGUGAGUUGAGAAAUGGCAAACUGAGAAAGGUCUGUUGGUGAAAAUUGUUCGUAGCUUCGCACGAUAAAUAAGGUUAAGGUUUGGGUAAAGUAAUCAAGUGAUGGAAGUUCUGGGAAAUGAAGUAUGGCAACUGAAGAGUUGGUUAGUUGGAUCGGUUGGACCGGUUAGUCCGAAAUGCUUGUCAUGAUUAUUGGUGCCAACUGUUCCAAUCAGAUAAGUUUCUUUUCUUUUUGCUUUUCAACAGUCACCUGGUUUUGAAUUCUUCUUAUCUUUAUCUCAUAAAAUUAUUGCAUUUCAUUCUCUUUCGGGGGUUUUGGUUUGUCUAAAAUGUUCCAAUGUCAGUUUUGUUCAAUACAAAAGAAAAAGGAUUUCAAAACCCACUACCAGCUUCCGAAAAUGGUAAAGAAAAAUGUGGCCAGAGCCUGUCAGUAACAAUGUAAUGUAAAGUGAAAUAAGGGAAGUCACCGGAAGUUUCGUCGGCAGAAUAUUUGGGAAAUGUUAUGGGAAAUGUGAAAGUUCAGGAAAAGAGAGUCGGAAAGGGGAAACAAUAGUGGGAGUACAAAAACAUUCGGGUUGUUAGAAAUUGGGGAAUGUGAAAGGCGGUUAGAAAGUCAGACAGUUCAGAGGAAGUCAGGCAACACAAAGCAAGGCAAUGGAAGGAUGGUGCAACAAGAAUUCCAUCAACUAACCACCAUUUUUUUAAACUAAAAAAUUUUCAAUGAUUGAAACAGGGGUAGAUAAAUUAUUUGUCAGGAGGAAUUCUCCACGAAAAAAAAAUAUGCAUUAAUCAAGUUUAAUCGCAAGUGCGGCAUGGGUAAAAAUAUAAGAACAUGAGGAGUGGCAUAAGGAGAUAUUGAAGUUAGGAGUCUGGCUGAAAAAUAGACGAAUAUAUCUUAGUCUUUGGGUUUUAAAGUUACAAUUUCAAUCCUGUCGCAAUUAAAGUGUUAGUUUUAAUCCUUAUUAGUAUGUGGUAACAAGCCCCAGUUUUCCCAAACUGGGGUAGACAGUGUUUGUUGUUUUGUCUAUUUUUGUGAAAUUAGGAGCCCGCCUGGAGAAUGGAGGUGUUAAAUUUUUUAGUAGUUGAAAUCAGGAGCCCGCUUGUAGAAUGGAGGUGUUAAAUUUUUAUGUAGUUGAAAUCAGGAGCCCUUUAUUAAGUAGUUGAAUUUAGGAGCCCUCCUGGAGAAUGGAGGUGAUAAAUUUUAAAGUAGUUGAAAUCAGGAGCCUGCCUGGAGAAUGGAGGUGUUAAAUCUUUAAGUACUUGAAAUCAGGAGCCCGCCUGGAGAACGGAGAUGUUAAAUUUUUAAGUAGUUGAAAUCAGGAGCCCGUCUGGAGAAUGGAGGUGUUAAAUUUUUAAGUAGUUAAAAUUAGGAGCCCGCCUGGAGAAUGGAGGUGUUAAAUUUUUAAGUAGUUGAAAUCAGGAGCCCGCCUGNNNNNNNNNNNNNNNNNNNNNNNNNNNNNNNNNNNNNNNNNNNNNNNNNNNNNNNNNNNNNNNNNNNNNNNNNNNNNNNNNNNNNNNNNNNNNNNNNNNNNNNNNNNNNNNNNNNNNNNNNNNNNNNNNNNNNNNNNNNNNNNNNNNNNNNNNNNNNNNNNNNNNNNNNNNNNNNNNNNNNNNNNNNNNNNNNNNNNNNNNNNNNNNNNNNNNNNNNNNNNNNNNNNNNNNNNNNNNNNNNNNNNNNNNNNNNNNNNNNNNNNNAGGUGUUAAAUUUUUAAGUAGUUGAAAUCAGGAGCCCGCCUGGAGAAUAGAGGUGUUAAGUUUUUAAGUAGUAGAAAUCAGGAGCUUGCCUGGAGAAUGGAGGUGUUAAAUUUUUAAGUAGUUGAAAUCAGGAGCCCGCUUAGAGAAAAUAAGUGUUAAAUUUUUAUGUAGUUGAAAUCAGGAGCCCACCUGGAGAACAGAUGUGUUAAAUUUUUAAAUAGUAGAAAUCAGGAGCCCGCAUGGAGAAUGGAGGUGUUAAAUUUUUAUGUAGUUGAAAUCAGGAGCCCGCUCCCUCCUGGAGAAUAGAAGUGUUAAAUUUUCAAGUAGUUGAACUCAGGAGCCCGCCUGGAGAAUAGAGGUGUUAAGUUUUUAAGUAGUUGAAGUCAGGAGCCCACCUAGAGAAUAGGGGUGUUAUUUUUUUAAGUAGUUGAAGUCAGGAGCCCGCCUGGAGAAUGGAGGUGUUAAUUUUUUUUAACUAGUUAAAGUGAGAAGCCCGCGUGGAGAAUGGAUGUGUUAAAUUUUAUAAGUAGUUGAAUUUAGGAGCCCGCAUGGAGAAUGGAGGUGAUAAAUUUUUAAGUAGUUAAAAUCAGGAGCCCGCCUUGAGAAUGGAGGUGUUAAAUCUUUAAGCAGUUGAAAUCAGGAGCCCACCUGGAGAAUGAAGGUGUUAAAUUUUUAAGUAGUUAAAAUCAGGAGCCCGCCUGGAGAAUGGCGGUGUUAAAUUUUAAGUAGUUGAAAUUAGGAGCCUGCCUGGAGAAUAGAGGUGUUAAGUUUUUAUGUAGUUGAAAUCAGGAGCCCGUCUGGAGAAUGGAGGUGUUAAAUUUUCAAAUAGUUGAAGUCAGGAGCUUGCCUGGAGAAUGGAGGUGUUAAAUCUUAAGUUGUAGUUGAAGUCAGGAGCCCGUUUGAAGAACGGUGGUAUACAAUGCAAGUUUUGAAAAUCAGGAGCCCGCUGGAUAACAGUGGUAUUUCGAGCCAAGUUUUUGUCAAAAUUCUUGUUAAUACCCGGUAACGUGUUCCCAGUUUCCAAAAUGGGGCAUAAAGUUUCCUUUAUUUUGUCUAUUUUUAUGAAAUCAGGAACCCGCCUGGAUAAUAGAGGAAUACAUUUCAAAUCCAGAAGUCAAGAGUCCGCUUGGAGAAUAGAGAAAUACAUUCAAGUUUUGAAGUCAGGAGCCCGCCUGAAGAACAGAGUUAUUACAAUUCAAGUUUUAGCUUUCGAAUUCGUAUUAGUAUCCGGUAACAAACCCACUAGGGCAGAAAGUUUUCUUUGUUUCAUCAAUUUUUGAGGUCAUGAGCCCACCUGGAUAACAGAUGAAUACAAUUCAGCCUUAGAAUAUUACAGCUACAUUUCAGUCUUAUUACAAUUCAAGUUUUAGUUUUCAACUUCGUAUUAGUAUCCGGUGACAAACCCUAGUUUUCCAAAUUGGGGUCGAAAGUUUUCUUUGUUUCGUCUAUUUUUGAGGUCAGGAGCCCGCAUGGAUAACAGAGGAAUACAUUUCAGCCUUUAAAUUUUGAAGUUACAUUUCAGUCUUAUCAUGAUUCAAGUUUUAGUUUUCAAGUUUUUGAUAAUAUAUGAUAACAAGCACCCAAUUUUCCAAACUAGGGUAGAAAGUUUUCUUGUUUUAUCUAUUUUUGUGAAGUCAGGAGCCCGCCUGGAUAAUAGAGGAAUACAUUCCAGUUCAAAAUUGUUCAAGUUCAGUAAUGUGGAGAAAAGGAAUAACAUCUCAGUUAGCAAGUUGAAAUAAUGACAAUGGAUUUCACCAAUGAAACACAAGAUAACAAGACAACAAGGAAGUACAAGAUGCAAGUUUGAAGAUUUUAGACAGGACUUUUGUAAUUCAUAGUUCGUAGCUUAGGCUAGCUUCUUUAUUUUUGGUUGGUAUAAUAAGGAAGGUCAGCAAGAGGUAGCAACAACACUGACCUGAUUCCUGUUUAGCCCAGGAUAUGUAGGCAACCUCUGAAGCAGGGUGCGGUCAAAAUUUUUCAAAAUGCUUCACAAAGGAAUUCUCAAACGGGCAAAAAUCGCUCGUAUUUGCUCACUUAUCUUUGCCCGAAAACAUUUCAUGUUUCCAUGCAAAGAGGAACAACGGUGAGCACGUGAUUUUUGCCCUAUAUAUGAAUUAUUCCCACAAAAUUCAAACAAAAGGACUUUUUUCUUUAUUUUUACAAUUUAUGUGCAUUUUGGUGUCAUUUUCUGAUAAUUGUUGCAUUUUAUUUGUGCAUGAUAAUUCAAAUGAAAAUAAAAAAAUAUGCAUUUGCAUUUAAGUUAUAAUUUUAUAUUUUAAUGUUAAUUAAGGCUCAAAUUGUCAUAGAACAGUGCAUGAAAAAUCACAAAAAUAGUUCACUUUUGCAUUUUUAUUAUUUUUGUGAAAUUAUCGCAAAUUAGUUUUAAUAUAAUUUUAGGCCAUUAAUUAGUUUAGUUUAAAGUUUUAUUUUUAUUUUUACAUCUUCAAUAAAUUCAAAAAAUACUAUACAAAAUUAUAAAUUGUUAAAACACAUAAAAAGGUUUAAUUGAAAAGCAAUUGAAUUGAAAAAAAAGAAGAAGAAGAAGUAAUCAAUGAAAGAGGUUGCCCAAAAUUGGGCUUUUGGCUCAGUUAAUACGUGUCAGCCCAAGCCAAUGGCCCCCUGAUCCAGGCCAAAAUGCACCCGGUCCAGUCUCUUUGGAAAACAAAACACGGUCGUUUUGAGUUGCAAUAACUUCAAUCAAUCAAGGCCUUUCAUCCCUCCUCAUCCAACAGUUGUGGAUACUCAUUUCGGCUAAUUAAAAUGGUCCGAAAAAUGCAGAGACCGUUUAGUUCUUCCCCAAACACAGACCUCAUCUUCUCCGUCUCCUUCAUCCCCAAACCUCCAUGUUCACCGGCAAUCCACCGCCAAUGACCGCCAAAAUAACACCCUUGAAACCCCGUCGCCCUAAACCUCCAUGUUCACCGGCAAUCCACCGCCAGUGACCGCCAAAAUAAUACCCUUGAAACCCUGUCUCACCCUCAUCCCAAAAAUCCCCUUUAUUCCCCUCGAAUGUUACUGAAGCCUCUCGAAUUUGGAUUUAAAGGGUCUACUUUAGAAAUUCCAAAGCCUAAAUCUAUGACUUUAUAAAUGGUUCUAGACUGUAGUGACCUUUAUUCGUGUGCUUCCAUAAGAAAAUACACGAUUAAGGGUUAGUCCAGUCAGGAAUCUGAAGAAGCUCGUUAAGGAUUGUUCGAGUUGGCUUAGCUUGGUGCUUUAGGUAUUAUGUUUGCCUAUCCUCAUUGUUUCCCCAAUUAGUUCAAUUGUUUGAUUUUGUUUUCUGUUGUUCUUCCUCCAGUUCAUGCUCUGUCUCUGCUUUUCCAUUCUGCCUCGUUGCUUAUGUGUUAAUAUGCUUAAUUAAUAACCUUGAGUUAAUCGUGUUUUUGAUUUUGCUAAAUAAAUAGAAUUAAUUCAUUUUGCGAGUUUUUAAUUGGGCUGUUUCUUUUGGAGGUUAUCCCUUAACUGAUAUUGGAUUGAGUCAGAAUCUGAAAUCGAUAUAAUUGGGCUGUUUCUUUUGGAGGUUAUCCGUUAACUGAUAUUGGAUUGAGUCAGAAUCUGAAAUCGAUUAUCUAAUUUGGAUUGGUCUAGAAUUAGGUUGGGGCUCCUUGGGUCAUUUAUGACCCAACUCAAAGGUGCCCUGGUUGAGCCCAAAUCUGUUUGGUUAGCUAAGUAAUAACAGGGGCUUUGGAGGGUAUUAUAGGUAAUCUAACAUGGAUGAAUCUUUUAUGACUAAUUUCAGAAGUUUCUAGUAGGGGUCUUAAGGGGAAUAUCAUAUUUUGGGUGUUUAAACUUGGGUAGAAAGUCAGGAAUUGGGGGUUACCUAAGCAAAAAUGAAAAUUCAAAAGGGGGGUAAGGUGUAAAUUGGAAAACCUGAAGGCUGCCCUAUGCUUAAGCUUAUAAAGGCAUGGUUUAUUGCCUUGAAAGGAAGCCAUCAAGAUUCUAAAAAUUUGAAGGGAAUUAGAGAUACAAAAGAAAAAAACAUAAAAUUCAGUAUUGCUACUAUUCUAUGGAGUUUAAGGCCUAAACUUUGAAAGUUUUUCCAUCUCUAAAUCAAUUUGAAUUUUAUCUUUAUGUCCAAGCUUUGAAAUGGUUUGAAAAAUGAGGUGAUGAUUUUGGAUUUGGAUGUCUCUGAUUGUUUGAAGGUGGUAUUACGUGUUGAGACUACAUUCCUCUGGGUUUUAGGCUAUUAAGUCUACUGUUCCAUUUGAGUUUUUAAGUAAUCUCCUGGUUUUAUUCACUAAGUCCGGGCUGCGUUGGUUGCUUUUGAUUUCUACGGUUGCUGUUUGAUAUUGCAUCUGCUUGGCUGGUUGUGUUCCUUCUGUUGGCUUUCAUCUUUAUUUGAGCUUACUACUGCUGCUCACUGUUAGCUCCUGGCUCAUUUUUGUUGGUUUUGCUGUUGUAAUCAGGUACAUACUCGAGGUCAUGUCAAUACAGAUUUUACUUGCUUGAAAUGAAAUGGAAUCGAAGUUACUGCUUGAAGAUCUGUUGUUCAUUUUAUUAUGCAAAUGAAUAUUUUGUAUGAUCUAUGUAAUUUCAUAGUGUGACAGAGCAUAAACCUAGGAGUUCUAUGUGUAGCAACGAGGUUUUGGACUGUUAAACUCGACUGAUUUUAUAGCUUUCAUUAAUUCUAUGUGUAGCACUGGUUAUAACUACACCAUUUGGGGUUGUUGAAUUCUGGAUUCUAUAACUUUCAUUAAGCCUUCAUUAUGCAUUUCAAAGUAGUCGAUGUGAUUUGAACUACACCAUUUGGGGUUAUUGAAUUCUGGAUUCUAUAAAUUUCAUUAAGCCUUCAUUAUGCAUUUCAAAGUAGUCGAUCUCAGCCCAAAUGGC